This 788-nucleotide long non-coding RNA is filed under the name Olea europaea subsp. europaea. Lineage: Eukaryota; Viridiplantae; Streptophyta; Magnoliopsida; Lamiales; Oleaceae. The record is from RNAcentral.
UUGGGGAAUUCCCUGUACCGAGAUAUAAAUUUGCUAUCAUACCCUGUUUCUUAGCAAACUCGAUGGAUUUCUCACGAUUCUCUCCUUUCCAACAGAACUCUCGUCUUUCAAUUCAUCCUCCUCCAAUAGUCCCAACCUUUUCUUUUGAGCUUAAAAAAGCAGAUGAAGACAGGGGCUAUGACAAACUCAAAUGAAUGCCAUCAAGAAAGACACACGUAUAAAAUUUCAAUGAUCUCACCUUAGAUUGCAAAGUACUGUUAAUUACAUCACUUAUAAGCUCCCAAUUGGAACCCAAAUCAGGCACCAAAACAAGAAAUUCCUAAAAGGUCAAUAUCAACAUUGAUGCGAUCAUAUCUCUAGAAGUCGAAAGUAAAAAACCAUAUCUCAAUUCUCAAGUUUCAGCAGAUGUAUGUGCACAUGUGCAUAUCUGCGCUGAAUAUGUACAUUUGUAACCCAACCUGGUCCUCAAAUACCAUGUAGACAAAUGAGAUUAUGAGACAGGAAUUUCUAUCUGAAUUGAUGAUUCUUUAGUUUUCCCUUUCUGUAUCUAUGCACAUCUGGGUGAAGGGAAAUGGAAAAAAAAAUGGAAAACAAUCUCUUAAAUUAGGAGAGAACUAACCAGCCUACCUAACUAUGGAAGUGUUUAAAUAUGAUAAAUCAAUUAUCCUUAAAUCAAUCAUUAAUAUCGUACACUCGUUCGGAUUGCUAAACUUGCUUCAUCUGUUACAUCUUGUUAUAAUCUAUUAGGACAUUAAAAAGUCUUGAGAAUUUAUGUAGAACCCCAAAUA